CCUACGGGGCGCAGCAGUAGGGAAUCUUCCACAAUGGACGAAAGUCUGAUGGAGCAACGCCGCGUGAGUGAAGAAGGGUUUCGGCUCGUAAAACUCUGUUGGUAGAGAAGAACAAUAGAGGUAGUAACUGGCCUUUCUUUGACGGUAAUUAAUUAGAAAGUCACGGCUAACUACGUGCCAGCAGCCGCGGUAAUACGUAGGUGGCAAGCGUUGUCCGGAUUUAUUGGGCGUAAAGCGAGUGCAGGCGGUUCCAUAAGUCUGAUGUGAAAACCCUCGGCUCAACCGGGGGAUUUC
RNAcentral lists this ribosomal RNA (294 nucleotides) under uncultured bacterium. RNAcentral's name for it is "partial 16S ribosomal RNA". It matches the Rfam family "Bacterial small subunit ribosomal RNA", at positions 338 to 624 of the family's 1533-position model. The record is from RNAcentral.